RNAcentral lists this ribosomal RNA (495 nucleotides) under uncultured Chloroflexota bacterium. RNAcentral describes it as "bacterial SSU rRNA". It matches the Rfam family "Bacterial small subunit ribosomal RNA", at positions 903 to 1382 of the family's 1533-position model. Lineage: Bacteria; Bacillati; Chloroflexota. The record is from RNAcentral.
CGCCUUGCCAGCCCGCUCAGAAACUCAAAUGAAUUGACGGGGGCCCGCACAAGCAGCGGAGCGUGUGGUUUUAAUUCGAUGCAACACGAAGAACCUUACCAAGGCUUGACAUACUGGAAGUAGGAACCUGAAAGGGGGACGACCUGUUGAGUCAGGAGCCAGCACAGGUGCUACAUGGCUGUCGUCAGCUCGUGCCGUGAGGUGUUGGGUUAAGUCCCGCAACGAGCGCAACCCUUGUUGCCAGUUAUCUUCUCUGGCGAGACUGCCCCGCAAAACGGGGAGGAAGGUAGGGAUGACGUCAAGUCAGCAUGGCCCUUAUGCCUUGGGCGACACACACGCUACAAUGGGUGGUACAGAAGGUUGCAACAGAGUGAUCUGGAGCCAAUCCCAAAAACCAUCCCCAGUUCGGAUUGCAGGCUGAAACCCGCCUGCAUGAAGCCGGAGUUGCUAGUAACCGCAGGUCAGCAUACUGCGGUGAAUACGUUCUCGGGCCUU